UGGGGUUGUGGCUCAGUGGUAGAGUGCUCGCCUAGCAUGUGCGAGGUCCUGGAUUCGGUCCUCAGCACCACAA
This 73-nucleotide transfer RNA is filed under the name Marmota monax (woodchuck). Its description in RNAcentral is "tRNA.Ala". The record is from RNAcentral. Lineage: Eukaryota; Metazoa; Chordata; Mammalia; Rodentia; Sciuridae.